UAGACAUAGAAACACUCUCAGACAGCAGCUUGCUGUUACUGCGCCUGCUGCCAGUCUGACUCCGCUGCUUUGGGUGAAUGACGUCACGUGCGACCUGGAGGUGUUAACCACUUGUGUACCAAAUCUUUUUUUUUUUUGGUUGAAAACAUUCGGGGCUAAUGAAAAAACAUUUGGGGCUUUAGCCCCGGAUGUUUUUUAGCCUAGGGACGCCACUGGUCUGAGAGUGUUUCUAUGUCUACACAUUUCGCUGCUUCACUCUUCUGGGCUAAACCCAGCGCCGCCGCUCCCAUAACGCGCAUCGCUCUGCCUUGAUACGCGCCGACACACCCGCACACACAGCUGCUCUGAACGACAUGCUGCCUGCGCUGGACUUCAUCCGGAUCGCCUCAGACGACGAAGGUAAUCGAGGUUUCGAUGGCCGUAGCACAAGAAGCAGCAACAAGGAUGGAGGACCACAGGACCAGACGAGAAGGAUGGAGGACCACAGGACCAGACGAGAAGGAUGGAGGACCACAGGACCAGACGAGAAGGAUGGAGGACCACAGGACCAGAUGGACAGCGGCGGUCGUCUUUCUUUCAGAAGCUGAGGGUUGAUGUCCACCGACCCCCCUGAACCCCUCUCAGCACCCCAGAGUCCGAGACCCAGGGAGUAAGGUCCUCCCAGCCCCUCCACCCCGACACCACCCGCCCCCCAGCCGAGAGGACGAGGAGGGUCCCCUCCCCACCAGCACAAAGGACGUAGUUUAUUUCCAUCUGCUUUUUUAUAUUCUUUAUUAUAUCAUAUUUGUGACUUUUUUUGUUUUUUCCCUGUCUCUCUCUUGUUACGUGUGAGUCAUCGCCGUGACUUCCGGCACCUGGCCUCAUCUCCACACCUGCACGUCGUCUCCAGCACCGGUCUUCACUCAAGUCAUCAACUCCUUCCUGCUGAAACACCCCGGCUUCCCUCACCAGCUGCCAGAUGACUUCACCGUUUCCAGUGGUCCUUAAAUCUCAGCCUCUCUAGCAUUGAGAGAGCUGCAGCCCACCACCCCCCACCACCCCUCACGCCCCCUCACGCCCCCUCUCCACCCCUCACCGUUCUGUCUGCAUUCCCCUCCUGUCGUACCAUCAAAUAAACUCUUUACCUUCACCCAA
Long non-coding RNA from Pseudoliparis swirei, 1134 nucleotides. RefSeq lists it as uncharacterized. NCBI's taxonomy places the organism in Eukaryota, Metazoa, Chordata, Actinopteri, Perciformes, Liparidae. The record is from RefSeq and is a predicted model, not a curated record. The transcript has 3 exons.